GGCCGUAUGGCAAUGUUGAUCUUUCGAAUCGUGUCAGAUCUGGAAGGAAGCAGCACUAAGAUUGUUUCAGCAUGUGCUGUACGUACAUA
RNAcentral lists this signal recognition particle RNA (89 nucleotides) under Carnobacterium sp. RNAcentral's name for it is "signal recognition particle sRNA small type". It matches the Rfam family "Bacterial small signal recognition particle RNA". From Rfam's summary of the family: The signal recognition particle (SRP) is a universally conserved ribonucleoprotein involved in the co-translational targeting of proteins to membranes. Archaeal SRP consists of a 7S RNA and homologues of the eukaryotic SRP19 and SRP54 proteins. In most bacteria, the SRP consists of a 4.5S RNA and the Ffh protein (a homologue of the eukaryotic SRP54 protein). The record is from RNAcentral. RNAcentral also lists the same sequence under 2 other names. Lineage: Bacteria; Bacillati; Bacillota; Bacilli; Lactobacillales; Carnobacteriaceae.